Molecule: transfer RNA, 72 nt
Filed under: Exophiala mesophila
Lineage: Eukaryota; Fungi; Ascomycota; Eurotiomycetes; Chaetothyriales; Herpotrichiellaceae
Description: tRNA-His (GTG) (tRNA-His-GTG-1-1)
Rfam family: tRNA
About the family: Transfer RNA (tRNA) molecules are approximately 80 nucleotides in length. Their secondary structure includes four short double-helical elements and three loops (D, anti-codon, and T loops). Further hydrogen bonds mediate the characteristic L-shaped molecular structure. tRNAs have two regions of fundamental functional importance: the anti-codon, which is responsible for specific mRNA codon recognition, and the 3' end, to which the tRNAs corresponding amino acid is attached (by aminoacyl-tRNA synthetases). tRNAs cope with the degeneracy of the genetic code in two manners: having more than one tRNA (with a specific anti-codon) for a particular amino acid; and 'wobble' base-pairing, i.e. permitting non-standard base-pairing at the 3rd anti-codon position.
Source: RNAcentral
GUUGGCAUAGUGCAGUGGUUAGCACGUCUCGUUGUGGCCGAGGAAACCUAGGUUCAAAUCCUAAUACCGACA